CCUACGGGAGGCUGCAGUAGGGAAUAUUGCUCAAUGGGGGAAAGCCUGAAGCAGCAACGCCGCGUGGAGGAUGAAGGUUCUCGGAUUGUAAACUCCUUUUGUUAGAGGAGAUAAUGACGGUAUCUAACGAAUAAGCAACGGCUAACUCCGUGCAAGCAGCCGCGGUAAUACGGCGGGUGCAAGCGUUACACGGAGUCACUGGGCGUAAAGGGCGCGUAGGCGGGAUAGCAAGUCAGAGGUGAAAGCCUAAGGCUUAACCAUAGAACUGCAUUUGAAACUGUUAUUCUAGAGUAUGGGAGAGGUAGGUGGAAUUCUUGGUGUAGGGGUAAAAACCGUAGAGAUCAAGAGGAAUACUCAUUGCGAAGGCGACCUGCUAGAACAUAACUGACGCUGAUGCGCGAAAGCGUGGGGAGCAAACAGGAUUAGAUACCCUUGUAGUC
Molecule: ribosomal RNA, 440 nt
Filed under: uncultured bacterium
Lineage: Bacteria
Description: partial 16S ribosomal RNA
Rfam family: Bacterial small subunit ribosomal RNA
Source: RNAcentral